Molecule: ribosomal RNA, 1237 nt
Filed under: metagenome
Description: bacterial LSU rRNA
Rfam family: Bacterial large subunit ribosomal RNA
Source: RNAcentral
UGAAUACGAGACGCUAAGGCGUCGAAGUAGUGUAUGUCAUACUUCCAAGAAAAGCUUGCACUGUCAUAGAUAAAAAACGCCUGUACCAUAACCGACACAGGUGGGUAGGUAGAGUAUACUAAGGGGCGCGAGAUAACUCUCUCUAAGGAACUCGGCAAAAUAACUCCGUAACUUCGGGAGAAGGAGUGCCUUAUUCGUAAGGUUGCAAUAACAAGAUCCAAGCAACUGUUUAUCAAAAACACAGGUCUCCGCUAAGUCGUAAGACGAUGUAUGGGGGCUGACGCCUGCCCAGUGCCAGAAGGUUAAAGAAGUUGGUUAGCAAUUGCGAAGCUGAUAACUGAAGCCCUGGUGAACGGCGGCCGUAACGAUAACGGUCCUAAGGUAGCGAAAUUCCUUGUCGGGUAAGUUCCGACCCGCACGAAAGGCGUAAUGAUUUGGAUACUGUCUCGGAGAGGGGCUCGGUGAAAUAGACUUGUCUGUGAAGAUGCGGACUACCUGCACCAGGACAGAAAGACCCUAUGAAGCUUUACUGUAACUUGAAAUUGAAAUUGGACUUUAUUCGCGCAGUAUAGGUGGGAGGCGUUGAUUAUAAUCUUGUGGGAUUAUUGGAGCCAUCAGUGAGAUACCACUCUUGUAAUGUUAGAUUAACUUUGAAUCAUUAUCUGGUCAAAGAACAGUUUCAGGCGGGCAGUUUGACUGGGGCGGUCGCCUCCUAAACGGUAACGGAGGCGUACAAAGGUUUCCUCUGAACGGUUAGAAAUCGUAUCUAGAGUGUAAAGGCAUAAGGAAGCUUGACUGUGAGACCUACAAGUCGAGCAGGGACGAAAGUCGGUCUUAGUGAUCUGACGGUACUGAGUGGAAAGGCCGUCACUCAACGGAUAAAAGUUACUCUAAGGAUAACAGGCUGAUCUCCCCCAAGAGUUCACAUCGACGGGGAGGUUUGGCACCUCGAUGUCGGCUCAUCGCAUCCUGGGGCGGUAGUACGUCCCAAGGGUUGGGCUGUUCGCCCAUGAAAGCGGUACGCGAGCUGGGUUCAGAACGUCGUGAGACAGUUCGGUCCAUAUCCGGUGUAGGCGUUAGAAUAUUGAGAGGAGCCUUCUUUAGUACGAGAGGACCGAGAAGGACAUACCUCUGGUGUACCAGUUAUCGUGCCAACGGUAAACGCUGGGUAGCUAUGUAUGGAGUGGAUAACCGCUGAAAGCAUCUAAGUGGGAAGCCCACCUCAAGAUAAGUAUUC